GUCUACGGCCAUGCCACCCUGAACAAGCCUGAUCCCGUCUGAUCUCAGAAGCUAAGCAGGGUCGGGCCUGCUUAGUACUUGGAUGAGAGACCACCUAGGAAGACCAGGUGCUAUAGGCA
RNAcentral lists this ribosomal RNA (119 nucleotides) under Pteropus alecto (black flying fox). The record is from RNAcentral. Lineage: Eukaryota; Metazoa; Chordata; Mammalia; Chiroptera; Pteropodidae.